RNAcentral lists this long non-coding RNA (427 nucleotides) under Phoenix dactylifera (date palm). Its description in RNAcentral is "long non-coding RNA (PDAC_LNC010262)". The record is from RNAcentral. Lineage: Eukaryota; Viridiplantae; Streptophyta; Magnoliopsida; Arecales; Arecaceae.
GCGGGCCCAAUCCUGCCAUGAUAUGAUCAGGCAUAAUUGCACCCAAAUAUCCGAGCCCGCGUGCGAUCUUCCAGUGAUCUUCACGUUCUCUCUUUUUCAGAUUAGCACCCGCACUCUUCUGAAAUAGAGAUUCCCACUCUCACUUCAUCACAAAAAAAAACUUUUUAACCUCCAAUCCCAUAACAAAAGCUGAAAUUACUAUUUAUUCCCAAAAUUUCUAUUCAUGGCUGAAAUCACUAUUUAUAUGAACAGUGUUCCGUGAAAACACUGUUCAUUUGAACAGUGUUUGAGAUGAAACUGUUCAUAUGAACAGUGUUGGAAAUGUUCUUUUCUGAUCGCUAUUCUUCUUCCUCCCAGCAGCUUCUUUCACCCGUUCCAGCCCCGUCCGAGCUGUCCAGAUCCUGCGUCCGAGGAUCCUGCAGUGCUC